AGGAAGGGGUGACUAGUGACAGAGUGAGGGGAUGACUGGUGACAGAGUGAGGGAGGGGGUGACUAGUGACAGUGAGGGAGGUGGUGACUGUCACUAGUCACCCCCUCCCUCACUCUGUCCCUAGUCACCCCUCCCUCUGUCACUAGUCACCCCCUUCCUCACUCUGUCACUAGUCACCACUUCCCUCCCUCACUCUGUCACUAGUCACCGCCUCCCUCACU
Non-coding RNA from Pelobates cultripes (western spadefoot toad), 221 nucleotides. Lineage: Eukaryota; Metazoa; Chordata; Amphibia; Anura; Pelobatidae. The record is from the annotation of a GenBank genome assembly.